ACAAACGCAUUGAUAGAGACAGUAUUCAUUUCAAUUCGACAAAGCGAUCCAGGGAUAGUGGGAGCCUGGUGAAGGAUGUUGUGAAGAAAUCACUCUUGAGCAGUUUUGGUGAACUGGAGUAGCCAAAACCGUCCACGCCACGUUACGGCGAUCGAGUGGCAGCUUAUUCGAGCUGCAACAAGGGUGGUACCGCGAGUUUAAGCUCCUCGUCCCUUUC
RNAcentral lists this non-coding RNA (217 nucleotides) under Planococcus massiliensis. RNAcentral describes it as "T-box". It matches the Rfam family "T-box leader". From Rfam's summary of the family: Uncharged tRNA acts as the effector for transcription antitermination of genes in the T-box leader family. T-boxes are found upstream of many aminoacyl-tRNA synthetase genes and some amino acid biosynthetic genes usually in Gram-positive bacteria. RNAcentral also lists the same sequence under 1 other name. The record is from RNAcentral. Lineage: Bacteria; Bacillati; Bacillota; Bacilli; Caryophanales; Caryophanaceae.